UGAUCCAGUCCUUCUCACCUAAACAUUCUAGCUAGCUUCAGACUAGCACAAUCCCAUCCAUCCCAGCACAACCCAGCGCAGCCGAGGAUACCCCAGUAGGCCACCACACACCAGGACUGGAACUGCUGGUGACAUCCUUGUCCUGUGCCUCUCCAGCAGCAUGAGGAUCAUCCCUGGAUGACCGCACCUGAUCCCCUGGGAGCCCUGGCCCAUGUCUCUGCCAUGAUAAUAAACUCCCUCAGCAAA
Pogoniulus pusillus (Red-fronted tinkerbird) is the source of this 246-nucleotide long non-coding RNA. RefSeq lists it as uncharacterized. NCBI's taxonomy places the organism in Eukaryota, Metazoa, Chordata, Aves, Piciformes, Lybiidae. The record is from RefSeq and is a predicted model, not a curated record. The transcript has 2 exons.